ACAGACGCCCGAGCCGGGUUCUUCCUUCCGUUCCCCCCUCCCCCCCUGCUAUACACAAACCCAAUAUGGCGGCAGCCACGAAGAGAAAUCGGCUUCCGCUUCCGGGGUUAGGAUGGGCGGGAGAAAGACUCGCUAUUCCCCUGCCAUUGGUAACUGAGGGAGGAAGUGGGCGUUGCUAUGGUGUUCUGACGUAGGAGGGAGAUGGGUGGCUCGGCAUCUGUGAAGACGGGCCGGGGAAGACAGGAAAGGAUGGAAAGACAGUUGGCGUUACUGUUCCCAGUUAUAGCGUUCCGCUGUGUUAUCAGCACAAGAAGCGUCUGCUGAACCCCAUGCCGUGGGGAGGAGAGCAGGCACCAGGAAGAGAGCGCGGGCGUGCCCUAACCUAACCUAGCCUAGCCUAGCCUAGCCUAGCCCAGCCCAGCCCAGCCCAGCCCACGCCUGCGCAGGGGCACGCCCGCUAGCUGCUGCGCAGGCGCAGCCCCGCUCCGCGUCUGGGGGGCAGCCCCGCCCUGCCUCGCUCCCGCGAAGCCAAUGAGCGCGAGCGUGCUGUUGCCAUGGUCCGGCGUCCGCGGCGCCUGCGUGGCGCUGACGAAGGGCCGGCAGCGGGACGGCGAGAGCUGCCAUGUCGGCAGCGCCGAGCGAGCCUGUGCUUCAGCACGGGGGGGGGGGGUCUCCGUCCCAGAGUGGGAGUGGGGCGGGCUCUGUGGGGGCUCGGACCGUGUCUUCUCCCCCCACCCCGCUCCCUUCAGCGUGCUUGGUAACGAGCUUCGCUCGGGGUGGGGUCUGCAGGGUGCCGCCUCAGCCUGUUCGCCUCACCUGGAACGGCGAAGGAUGUGGACUGUAAGGCUAUUCUGAUUCCUUUCUCAAGAUGAAGGGGAAUGGAAACAGGGGAAAGAACAUGGUAUGGAGGAAAAAAGGCCCACUAAGUAAUAGUUAAGUGAAUUCUUAAUUCUUUUCUUUAACUUGCUUACUUUAAAGAUUUUCUAUAUGAACUGUGCACUACAGCUAAAUAAGAUACUUAGCAAUGGAAGACGUUGUAGCUCAGCAACUGAAGCAAGGAGAGUGAGACGCUGAGGUAUUUUGUCAUGGGAAGAAACUGGAUAAAUUAUUUCAGGGAGAUUAUAUGUGUUGUUUUGAUGCUGUAGUUCCAGUAAGCUGUGUUCUAAUGUCCUAAUUUUUUAGGAAUUUGAGUGAAUUCUGUUCUCCCUUCAUAACCACUCAGACUCAGUAAGGUGAUGCACUGUUAUGCAUUAAAUUAAUGUUUAAUUUUUUUCCACAUCUGGAAACUAAUCUUAUUAAUAUCCAGUUGCCUUCUCCCUCACUCAUGAUUCAUGUAGUUUCAUGAUUCUGUUAAGAAAUUUGAA
Molecule: long non-coding RNA, 1364 nt
Filed under: Apteryx owenii (little spotted kiwi)
Lineage: Eukaryota; Metazoa; Chordata; Aves; Apterygiformes; Apterygidae
Description: lncRNA (ENSAOWG00000008245.1)
Source: RNAcentral